GACGAAGGAUGCAAGCGUUAUCCGGAUUCAUUGGGUUUAAAGGGAGCGUAGGCGGCCUUGUAGGUCAGUGGUGAAAUCUUUCCGCUUAACGGAAAAACUGCCAUUGAUACUGCUUGGCUUGAGUACAGAUGCUGUGGGCGGAAUAUGACAUGUAGUGGUGAAAUACAUAGAGAUGUCAUAGAACACCGAUUGCGAAGGCAGCUCACAAAACUGUAACUGACGCUGAGGCUCGAAAGUGUGGGGAUCAAACAGG
Molecule: ribosomal RNA, 253 nt
Filed under: uncultured bacterium
Lineage: Bacteria
Description: partial 16S ribosomal RNA
Rfam family: Bacterial small subunit ribosomal RNA
Source: RNAcentral